This 1561-nucleotide ribosomal RNA is filed under the name Bacillus cereus. RNAcentral describes it as "partial 23S ribosomal RNA". It matches the Rfam family "Bacterial large subunit ribosomal RNA", at positions 1 to 1551 of the family's 2925-position model. The record is from RNAcentral. RNAcentral also lists the same sequence under 4 other names. Lineage: Bacteria; Bacillati; Bacillota; Bacilli; Caryophanales; Bacillaceae.
GUUUGGUUAAGUUAGAAAGGGCGCACGGUGGAUGCCUUGACACUAGGAGUCGAUGAAGGACGGGACUAACGCCGAUAUGCUUCGGGGAGCUGUAAGUAAGCUUUGAUCCGAAGAUUUCCGAAUGGGGAAACCCACCAUACGUAAUGGUAUGGUAUCCUUAUCUGAAUACAUAGGGUAAGGAAGACAGACCCAGGGAACUGAAACAUCUAAGUACCUGGAGGAAGAGAAAGCAAAUGCGAUUUCCUGAGUAGCGGCGAGCGAAACGGAACAUAGCCCAAACCAAGAGGCUUGCCUCUUGGGGUUGUAGGACAUUCUAUACGGAGUUACAAAGGAACGAGGUAGACGAAGCGACCUGGAAAGGUCCGUCGUAGAGGGUAACAACCCCGUAGUCGAAACUUCGUUCUCUCUUGAAUGUAUCCUGAGUACGGCGGAACACGUGAAAUUCCGUCGGAAUCUGGGAGGACCAUCUCCCAAGGCUAAAUACUCCCUAGUGAUCGAUAGUGAACCAGUACCGUGAGGGAAAGGUGAAAAGCACCCCGGAAGGGGAGUGAAAGAGAUCCUGAAACCGUGUGCCUACAAAUAGUCAGAGCCCGUUAACGGGUGAUGGCGUGCCUUUUGUAGAAUGAACCGGCGAGUUACGAUCCCGUGCGAGGUUAAGCUGAAGAGGCGGAGCCGCAGCGAAAGCGAGUCUGAAUAGGGCGUUUAGUACGUGGUCGUAGACCCGAAACCAGGUGAUCUACCCAUGUCCAGGGUGAAGUUCAGGUAACACUGAAUGGAGGCCCGAACCCACGCACGUUGAAAAGUGCGGGGAUGAGGUGUGGGUAGCGGAGAAAUUCCAAUCGAACCUGGAGAUAGCUGGUUCUCCCCGAAAUAGCUUUAGGGCUAGCCUUAAGUGUAAGAGUCUUGGAGGUAGAGCACUGAUUGGACUAGGGGUCCUCAUCGGAUUACCGAAUUCAGUCAAACUCCGAAUGCCAAUGACUUAUCCUUAGGAGUCAGACUGCGAGUGAUAAGAUCCGUAGUCAAAAGGGAAACAGCCCAGACCGCCAGCUAAGGUCCCAAAGUGUGUAUUAAGUGGAAAAGGAUGUGGAGUUGCUUAGACAACUAGGAUGUUGGCUUAGAAGCAGCCACCAUUUAAAGAGUGCGUAAUAGCUCACUAGUCGAGUGACUCUGCGCCGAAAAUGUACCGGGGCUAAAUACACCACCGAAGCUGCGGAUUGAUACCAAUGGUAUCAGUGGUAGGGGAGCGUUCUAAGGACAGUGAAGUCAGACCGGAAGGACUGGUGGAGUGCUUAGAAGUGAGAAUGCCGGUAUGAGUAGCGAAAGACGGGUGAGAAUCCCGUCCACCGAAUGCCUAAGGUUUCCUGAGGAAGGCUCGUCCGCUCAGGGUUAGUCAGGACCUAAGCCGAGGCCGACAGGCGUAGGCGAUGGACAACAGGUUGAUAUUCCUGUACCACCUCUUUAUCGUUUGAGCAAUGGAGGGACGCAGAAGGAUAGAAGAAGCGUGCGAUUGGUUGUGCACGUCCAAGCAGUUAGGCUGAUAAGUAGGCAAAUCCGCUUAUCG